CCCCUCUUGGAAUUCAUUUCUUCCUGGAGAGACUUGGAGAAUGAAGAUCCAGGGGUUUCUCCCUACCUUGUACCGAGAAGUAACAUUGCAAGUAGAGUAAAUGACCAGCUUAAUUACGUUCACCUUCGAAGAAGAUUCCUCUAGAGAGAAAUUAUAUCCUCCUUGCAGCCUGUGAAGGUUUUCAUGCGUUUUAGGAAUAUAAAAGAAAGGAAGACAAACAUGUAGUAAAGAUAGUAAAGACAGGACCCACUUCUUCACGCCUUCCUCAGCAACUUCUCCAUGUGGCCCCUUAGGAGCUAAAGCGCUCUGCACUGGAUUAUAUGACUUGCCUGUUGUGGACUCAGGGCUUCUCAAAGUUACAUGAAUUCUCCGUGCUUAGGGAAAUUGGAUGACCUCUGUUCUCUGACCAAAGAUAAAAGAAGAUUAUUCUGUGAUCCUAUACGAGUCAGUGGCUAAUGGAACUACCAAAAAAAUGAUAACAAUGCAAAUAAUGUAAUUGGUUCUAAGCAGUGCUUUGCAGGCUCCUAAGGAUGGUUCUAAGUAAGCCAGGAGUAGGUGAUACAUUGUAAUUCUGGGACCCAUGAGCUUAGCAGGACAAAGGAAACCAUGAAUCACCCUAGUCCCAGAAGUACCUUUUCAUAGGCCCCAGGGAUUCCAACAUCAUUAUUCACUCUCCACUCUGCAAGUGACUUAGGUCGUGAGCAUCUCUGAGUCUGCACAGGCUCUGCCAUGUGGCUGUGGGGGUCCGGCUUCUCUGAUGGAUGGGAAGAUAAUGCUCGGGGCUCCAAUGCUAUUAUCUCCUCAUCUCUGUCACAAGGAGAUUUAUACUUAUGAUUUACCCUUUUCAUGAACAUGGGAAAAUUCUUUUUUCUAGUGUUGUUUCUGGAAUGUUCUUUGCUGUGUCUAAAUGAGCUGAUUCCACUGUUGGGAGAGGUGGAUGAUGUGAGCAGUAAGAAGGCAUUAGUUUCUUGAAAACUAGAUCCAUAUUUAGGUGAGAUGAAAUCAAACUACCUGAUUUUAAAAAAAACAAACUAUGUUUAUUUACCGUAUGUCUUGAUU
This is a long non-coding RNA of Homo sapiens (human), 1059 nucleotides long. Lineage: Eukaryota; Metazoa; Chordata; Mammalia; Primates; Hominidae. The record is from Ensembl.